CUGACGAGUGGCGGACGGGUGAGUAAUGUCUGGGAAACUGCCUGAUGGAGGGGGAGUAACUACUGGAAACGGUAGCUAAUACCGCAUAACGUCGCAAGACCAAAGAGGGGGACCUUCGGGCCUCUUGCCAUCGGAUGUGCCCAGAUGGGAUUAGCUAGUAGGUGGGGUAACGGCUCACCUAGGCGACGAUCCCUAGCUGGUCUGAGAGGAAGGUCCCCCACAUUGGAACUGAGACACGGUCCAAACUCCUACGGGAGGCAGCAUG
This 265-nucleotide ribosomal RNA is filed under the name uncultured bacterium. Its description in RNAcentral is "partial 16S ribosomal RNA". It matches the Rfam family "Bacterial small subunit ribosomal RNA", at positions 88 to 353 of the family's 1533-position model. The record is from RNAcentral.